CUACGGGGUGCACCAGUGGGGAAUCUUGGACAAUGGGCGCAAGCCUGAUCCAGCCAUGCCGCGUGAGUGAAGAAGGCCUUAGGGUCGUAAAGCUCUUUCGCCAGAGAUGAUAAUGACAGUAUCUGGUAAAGAAACCCCGGCUAACUCCGUGCCAGCAGCCGCGGUAAUACGGAGGGGGUUAGCGUUGUUCGGAAUUACUGGGCGUAAAGCGCGCGUAGGCGGAUUAGUCAGUCAGAGGUGAAAUCCCAGGGCUCAACCCUGGAACUGCCUUUGAUACUGCUAGUCUUGAGUUCGAGAGAGGUGAGUGGAAUUCCGAGUGUAGAGGUGAAAUUCGUAGAUAUUCGGAGGAACACCAGUGGCGAAGGCGGCUCACUGGCUCGAUACUGACGCUGAGGUGCGAAAGUGUGGGGAGCAAACAGGAUUAGAUACCCCUGUAGUC
Molecule: ribosomal RNA, 439 nt
Filed under: uncultured bacterium
Lineage: Bacteria
Description: partial 16S ribosomal RNA
Rfam family: Bacterial small subunit ribosomal RNA
Source: RNAcentral